Molecule: ribosomal RNA, 486 nt
Filed under: uncultured bacterium
Lineage: Bacteria
Description: partial 16S ribosomal RNA
Rfam family: Bacterial small subunit ribosomal RNA
Source: RNAcentral
AACGAACGCUGGCGGCGCGUCUUAACCAUGCAAGUCGAGCGGCAGGCAGCAAUGCCGAGAGCGGCGGACUGGUGAGUAACACGUGGAUAACGUACCCCGAUGUCCGGGACAGCCUGUAGAAAUAGAGGGUAAUACCGGAUAGAUCACUGUUUACGUGAGGUAGACAGCGGGAAAGGAGCUUCGGCUCCGCGACGGGAUCGGUCUGCGGCCCAUCAGCUGGACGGCGGGGUAAAGGCCCGCCGUGGCGAGGACGGGUAUCCGGCCUGAGAGGGCGGACGGACACAUUGGGACUGAGAUACGGCCCAGACUCCUACGGGAGGCAGCAGGUAAGAAUAUUCCGCAAUGGGGGGAGCCCUGACGGAGCGACGCCGCGUGAACGAAGAAGGCCGGAAGGUUGUAAAGUUCUUUUCUGUCCGAGGAAUAAGUUUCGGAGGAAAUGCCGGGACGGUGACGGUAGGGCAGGAAUAAGCACCGGCUAAUUACGUG